This 196-nucleotide ribosomal RNA is filed under the name uncultured Legionellales bacterium. Its description in RNAcentral is "partial 16S ribosomal RNA". It matches the Rfam family "Bacterial small subunit ribosomal RNA", at positions 335 to 523 of the family's 1533-position model. Lineage: Bacteria; Pseudomonadati; Pseudomonadota; Gammaproteobacteria; Legionellales. The record is from RNAcentral.
ACUCCUACGGGGGGCAGCAGUGGGGAAUAUUGGACAAUGGGGGCAACCCUGAUCCAGCGAUGCCGCGUGUGUGAAGAAGGCCUGCGGGUUGUAAAGCACUUUAGUUGGGGAGGAGAUAGCGCUUGUGAAUAAUGAGCGCUUGAGACGUUACCCAAAGAAUAAGCACCGGCUAACUCUGUGCCAGCAGCCGCGGUAA